AUUGAAUUUAGUCUGUGGAAG
Molecule: non-coding RNA, 21 nt
Organism: Caenorhabditis elegans
Lineage: Eukaryota; Metazoa; Nematoda; Chromadorea; Rhabditida; Rhabditidae
Source: Ensembl